AUGAACGCUGGCGGCGUGCCUAAUACAUGCAAGUCGAGCGCACAGACGAGGAGCUUGCUCCUCUGACGUUAGCGGCGGACGGGUGAGUAACACGUGGAUAACCUACCUAUAAGACUGGGAUAACUUCGGGAAACCGGAGCUAAUACCGGAUAAUAUAUUGAACCGCAUGGUUCAAUAGUGAAAGACGGUUUUGCUGUCACUUAUAGAUGGAUCCGCGCCGCAUUAGCUAGUUGGUAAGGUAACGGCUUACCAAGGCAACGAUGCGUAGCCGACCUGAGAGGGUGAUCGGCCACACUGGAACUGAGACACGGUCCAGACUCCUACGGGAGGCAGCAGUAGGGAAUCUUCCGCAAUGGGCGAAAGCCUGACGGAGCAACGCCGCGUGAGUGAUGAAGGUCUUCGGAUCGUAAAACUCUGUUAUUAGGGAAGAACAAAUGUGUAAGUAACUAUGCGCGUCUUGACGGUACCUAAUCAGAAAGCCACGGCUAACUACGUG
Molecule: ribosomal RNA, 496 nt
Filed under: uncultured bacterium
Lineage: Bacteria
Description: partial 16S ribosomal RNA
Rfam family: Bacterial small subunit ribosomal RNA
Source: RNAcentral